RNAcentral lists this ribosomal RNA (496 nucleotides) under uncultured bacterium. RNAcentral describes it as "partial 16S ribosomal RNA". It matches the Rfam family "Bacterial small subunit ribosomal RNA", at positions 28 to 506 of the family's 1533-position model. The record is from RNAcentral.
GACGAACGCUGGCGGCGUGCCUAAUACAUGCAAGUAGAACGCUGAAGAGAGGAGCUUGCUCUUCUUGGAUGAGUUGCGAACGGGUGAGUAACGCGUAGGUAACCUGCCUGGUAGCGGGGGAUAACUAUUGGAAACGAUAGCUAAUACCGCAUAAAAUUGAUUAUUGCAUGAUAAUUAAUUGAAAGAUGCAACUGCAUCACUACCAGAUGGACCUGCGUUGUAUUAGCUAGUUGGUGAGGUAACGGCUCACCAAGGCGACGAUACAUAGCCGACCUGAGAGGGUGAUCGGCCACACUGGGACUGAGACACGGCCCAGACUCCUACGGGUGGCAGCAGUAGGGAAUCUUCGGCAAUGGGGGGAACCCUGACCGAGCAACGCCGCGUGAGUGAAGAAGGUUUUCGGAUCGUAAAGCUCUGUUGUAAGAGAAGAACGGGUGUGAGAGUGGAAAGUUCACAUUGUGACGGUAUCUUACCAGAAAGGGACGGCUAACUACGU